Tigriopus californicus is the source of this 609-nucleotide long non-coding RNA. RefSeq lists it as uncharacterized. The transcript has 4 exons. The record is from RefSeq and is a predicted model, not a curated record. Lineage: Eukaryota; Metazoa; Arthropoda; Copepoda; Harpacticoida; Harpacticidae.
CUAUUUUCUUUUAAGUUCAGAUAUGCUAGGCCGGACCAACAAAAAUAGAGCACACUUUAAACAAGAUCAGUGGUGAAGCAUCUGACUGAUUGCAUUGGUCGGUUAACCCAGAGAGAAACGAAAAUGGUGGCCGAAUUCAGUGUUCGUUUCUUACAUUUCCAGACAUGUUUAUGAAAGUUAGUGAAUGUGAAAUCGUUCAUUUUGACAUGUGGGAUUGAGAUUGAACAAAUGCCCAGUCCUCAAUGCGACGAUGAGUGCCAACGCGAAACAACGAGUAAUAAUGAAAGCCACCGGCUAUUUGGGAUUUGCAUGCAUGGCAUGGUAUGUGGUGCAAAGCAGGUUGGAGGAACCCAAAGACAAGACCAAGACGUUCGACGAUGCCAAGAGUUACGAAAAAAAGCUUAUGAUGGAAAGAUUGCUCAGUGGCAAAGGCUACACUGACCUUAAAGAAUACAAAAACGACACGCUUGCGUCCAAAAAAGACCUCCUAGAAAAGUUUACGGAAGACUUGCCCAAGAGCAACAACGAAAAGUGAUAAUGACAGUAUAUCAAUUAGUGACACGUUGGUAGUAAAAUUAUGAAAAAUAAAAGUGCGGAGAUUUGUUUUUA